AGUCGAACGGUAACAUAAAGAAGCUUGCUUCUUUGAUGACGAGUGGCGGACGGGUGAGUAAUGCUUGGGAAUUUGCCUUGAGGUGGGGGACAACAGUUGGAAACGACUGCUAAUACCGCAUAAUACCUACGGGUCAAAGGGGGCUUUUAGCUCUCGCCUUUAGAGAAGCCCAAGUGGGAUUAGAUAGUUGGUGGGGUAAUGGCCUACCAAGUCGACGAUCCCUAGCUGGUCUGAGAGGAUGAUCAGCCACACUGGAACUGAGACACGGUCCAGACUCCUACGGGAGGCAGCAGUGGGGAAUAUUGCACAAUGGGCGCAAGCCUGAUGCAGCCAUGCCGCGUGUGUGAAGAAGGCCUUCGGGUUGUAAAGCACUUUCAGUAGGGAGGAAGGUUUAGUAGUUAAUACCUGCUAGAUUUGACGUUACCUACAGAAGAAGCACCGGCUAACUCCGUGCCAGCAGCCGCGGUAAUACGGAGGGUGCGAGCGUUAAUCGGAAUUACUGGGCGUAAAGCGUACGCAGGCGGUCAUUUAAGUCAGAUGUGAAAGCCCCGGGCUCAACCUGGGAACUGCAUUUGAAACUGGAUGACUAGAGUGCGGCAGAGGGUGGUAGAAUUUCAGGUGUAGCGGUGAAAUGCGUAGAGAUCUGAAGGAAUACCAAUGGCGAAGGCAGCCACCUGGGCCGACACUGACGCUCAUGUACGAAAGCGUGGGUAGCAAACGGGAUUAGAUACCCUGGUAGUCCACGCCGUAAACGAUGUCUACUAGCAGCUCGUCUCGUUAGAGAGGUUUUGCGCAGCUAACGCGUUAAGUAGACCGCCUGGGGAGUACGG
This 830-nucleotide ribosomal RNA is filed under the name uncultured Pseudoalteromonadaceae bacterium. RNAcentral describes it as "bacterial SSU rRNA". It matches the Rfam family "Bacterial small subunit ribosomal RNA", at positions 60 to 885 of the family's 1533-position model. Lineage: Bacteria; Pseudomonadati; Pseudomonadota; Gammaproteobacteria; Alteromonadales; Pseudoalteromonadaceae. The record is from RNAcentral.